This is a small nucleolar RNA of Mesitornis unicolor (brown roatelo), 271 nucleotides long. It matches the Rfam family "Small Cajal body specific RNA 6". From Rfam's summary of the family: U88 is small Cajal body specific RNA (scaRNA). scaRNAs are a novel class of small nuclear RNAs which localise to the Cajal bodies. U88 is found associated with both fibrillarin and Gar1p and co-localises with coilin in Cajal bodies. U88 scaRNA is composed of both an H/ACA box and a C/D box conserved domains domains and is predicted to guide 2'-O-methylation of residue U41 of the U5 snRNA. NCBI's taxonomy places the organism in Eukaryota, Metazoa, Chordata, Aves, Mesitornithiformes, Mesitornithidae. The record is from Rfam.
GGUCGAUGAUGAUGAGUAAAAGGUCUGAGAGCACAGGGGAAUUGCACUCCAUUACCCUCCUGGCUCCCAGCAGUCCCUGCUCUGUCAUGCCGUAGUAGAGCUAUGAUCGAGGAAGGGAUUGCUGAUAGUUUGGGAUUAAUUCAGUUCCAGUUCUCCACAGUGAAGGGAGUUGUGGUGCUGAAUGUCAUCCGACAGGGCUGGUCAAGAGGAGCUUGUGGUAGUGGAGUGUCUUCAUUUGUUGUGUGUGAUCUCAAGUUUUCAAGCUGAGACC